Molecule: ribosomal RNA, 292 nt
Filed under: uncultured bacterium
Lineage: Bacteria
Description: partial 16S ribosomal RNA
Rfam family: Bacterial small subunit ribosomal RNA
Source: RNAcentral
GGAUUAGAUACCCUGGUAGUCCACCCCGUAAACGUUGGGAACUAGUUGUGGGGACCAUUCCACGGUCUCCGUGACGCAGCUAACGCAUUAAGUUCCCCGCCUGGGGAGUACGGCCGCAAGGCUAAAACUCAAAGGAAUUGACGGGGACCCGCACAAGCGGCGGAGCAUGCGGAUUAAUUCGAUGCAACGCGAAGAACCUUACCAAGGCUUGACAUAUAGAGGAAACGUGCAGAAAUGUACGCCCCGCAAGGUCUCUAUACAGGUGGUGCAUGGUUGUCGUCAGCUCGUGCCG